GAUGAACGCUGGCGGCGUGCCUAAUACAUGCAAGUCGAGCGAACAGACGAGGAGCUUGCUCCUCUGACGUUAGCGGCGGACGGGUGAGUAACACGUGGAUAACCUACCUAUAAGACUGGGAUAACUUCGGGAAACCGGAGCUAAUACCGGAUAAUAUAUUGAACCGCAUGGUUCAAUAGUGAAAGACGGUUUUGCUGUCACUUAUAGAUGGAUCCGCGCCGCAUUAGCUAGUUGGUAAGGUAACGGCUUACCAAGGCAACGAUGCGUAGCCGACCUGAGAGGGUGAUCGGCCCCACUGGAACUGAGACACGGUCCAGGCUCCUACGGGAGGCAGCAGUAGGGAAUCUUCCGCAAUGGGCGAAAGCUUGACGGAGCAACGCCGCGUGAGUGAUGAAGGUCUUCGGAUCGUAAAACUCUGUUAUUAGGGAAGAACAAAUGUGUAAGUAACUAUGCACGUCUUGACGGUACCUAAUCAGAAAGCCACGGCUAACUACGUG
This 497-nucleotide ribosomal RNA is filed under the name uncultured bacterium. RNAcentral's name for it is "partial 16S ribosomal RNA". It matches the Rfam family "Bacterial small subunit ribosomal RNA", at positions 28 to 507 of the family's 1533-position model. The record is from RNAcentral.